CUUCUUCCACUACAGCCACAAGAAAGAAAAAAGUGUCCUUGUGUUUUCUGUUGAUUGUGGCAGCCAGACUGAAUGGGGGGAUACAGGA
Small nucleolar RNA from Bison bison bison, 88 nucleotides. The record is from Ensembl. NCBI's taxonomy places the organism in Eukaryota, Metazoa, Chordata, Mammalia, Artiodactyla, Bovidae.